This 668-nucleotide long non-coding RNA is filed under the name Portunus trituberculatus (swimming crab). RNAcentral's name for it is "uncharacterized LOC123512783, transcript variant X1". The record is from RNAcentral. Lineage: Eukaryota; Metazoa; Arthropoda; Malacostraca; Decapoda; Portunidae.
CGGGCAACAGCUCAACCUCCUCGGCAGUCGGCAGUCGGCACCCAGCCAGUCACCCACCUCCCUCCCUCCAGGUUACUCCAUUCAUUGGCAUCAACGAGUGUGCAGGCAGCUGUUCGAACCUUGCCGCAGACUGUUGUGACUGGAAGCCUGCGUCGUGAGGUGUGUUGGUAUGUUAUGAUGGAGCGGGAAAGGAAGAAAGGAACGAAAAAAGAAGUUGAAUGACAGCUCUAUCACAGACAAAAUGAUGACUGCAGAGUUGCCACGAACGAGUGAGGCAACGCGCGGUACUGGCAACACUGGUGAUACUGGCAACACUGCUUCUCAGAUACCUUACCUGGGGACUAAUGAAGGACAGGUGAGGUUAAUUGUACUCUCGAGACACCGUGGUUACCUGUGCUCACCUGUGUGUCUUAAAUAAUUGACAGGUGCGGGAGUGACACCUGGAAACUGCUCGCUCACCUGACUCAUUAAGUGGUAAACUGGCGGGACCUUGUGAGAAGCAGGUGGCAUUAAUGAACAGUGUUGCCAGGUUCGUGAUUGGGCAAGGAACCACCACCACCACAACGACUGCCCUGUCCUGCCCUGCCUUUCCUCACUAGCUUGCCCAUGACACCCUCCAUCCUUCCCUUGAUAUCCUCUCUCUCUCUCUCUCGACACCUUUCCUCCUU